AAUAAGUGUAAUCAUAAGUUUCCGCGUACAACUUUAAUCGACCGUCUUAUUUGAAAUUUUUUUAUGAUUACUAAGUAUUUUUUUAUAUUAGAUUAUAAAAUAUGAAUAGAACUUUAUGCAUGAUUUAUGUUUUUAGAUUUUUUUUUCAAAAAAUUAAAUAAGAUAGACGAUUAAAGUUGUGUACAGAAACUCGUGGAAGCACUUAUU
Oryza sativa Indica Group (long-grained rice) is the source of this 207-nucleotide microRNA precursor. It matches the Rfam family "MIR812 microRNA precursor family". Lineage: Eukaryota; Viridiplantae; Streptophyta; Magnoliopsida; Poales; Poaceae. The record is from Rfam.